This 94-nucleotide transfer RNA is filed under the name Streptomyces platensis. RNAcentral's name for it is "tRNA-Arg". RNAcentral also lists the same sequence under 1 other name. The record is from RNAcentral. Lineage: Bacteria; Bacillati; Actinomycetota; Actinomycetes; Kitasatosporales; Streptomycetaceae.
CGUCGGCAGACAGGCGAAGGGCAUUGGCGGCCUUCGCUGCCGCCUCCGUGGGUACGGCGAUCACGGCCGCCGGGUCCGCUUCGACGCCGGCGGC